GAUGAACGCUAGCUACAGGCUUAACACAUGCAAGUCGAGGGGUCUCGCGGGAGCUUGCUUCCAAGAGACGACCGGCGCACGGGUGAGUAACGCGUAUCCAACCUGCCCUUCAUAUUGGGAUAGCCUUCCGAAAGGAAGAUUAAUACCGAAUAACAUGAGAAAGUUGCCUGAUUCUCUCAUGAAAGCUCCGGCGAUGAAGGAUGGGGGUGCGUUCCAUUAGGUAGUAGGCGGGGUAACGGCCCACCUAGCCUACGAUGGAUAGGGGUUCUGAGAGGAAGGUCCCCCACACUGGAACUGAGACACGGUCCAGACUCCUACGGGAGGCAGCAGUGAGGAAUAUUGGUCAAUGGGCGCAAGCCUGAACCAGCCAAGUAGCGUGAAGGAUGACUGCCCUAUGGGUUGUAAACUUCUUUUAUACGGGAAUAAAACCUCCCACGUGUGGGAGCUUGUAUGUACCGUAUGAAUAAGCAUCGGCUAACUCCGUGCCAGCAGCCGCAGUAA
RNAcentral lists this ribosomal RNA (501 nucleotides) under uncultured bacterium. Its description in RNAcentral is "partial 16S ribosomal RNA". It matches the Rfam family "Bacterial small subunit ribosomal RNA", at positions 28 to 523 of the family's 1533-position model. The record is from RNAcentral.